RNAcentral lists this non-coding RNA (18 nucleotides) under Arabidopsis thaliana (thale cress). RNAcentral also lists the same sequence under 2 other names. The record is from RNAcentral. Lineage: Eukaryota; Viridiplantae; Streptophyta; Magnoliopsida; Brassicales; Brassicaceae.
UCUUGGUGGUAGUAGCAA